RNAcentral lists this long non-coding RNA (232 nucleotides) under Trifolium pratense (red clover). Its description in RNAcentral is "long non-coding RNA (TPRA_LNC004662)". Lineage: Eukaryota; Viridiplantae; Streptophyta; Magnoliopsida; Fabales; Fabaceae. The record is from RNAcentral.
AGUCCAUGAAAACCAUGAUACAUGCAUACAUGUUCAUCCCAUGCAAUAAAUGAUGUUGUAAUAAACAAAAAUGUAAAAUAAAGCAUGGACUCUUAUCAUAUACACCAUGCCUAGUUUGUCAUAGGAUGAACCUUCCACUUUCAUUAAUAUGUCUUUCACCCAUAUCCUGUAAAUUGUACCACUUAUCAUAGUUAAAUGGUUAAUGGAUAAAAAGUAUUACGGUUUCUUCUCA